Triticum dicoccoides is the source of this 1685-nucleotide RNA transcript. RefSeq lists it as uncharacterized. Lineage: Eukaryota; Viridiplantae; Streptophyta; Magnoliopsida; Poales; Poaceae. The record is from RefSeq and is a predicted model, not a curated record. The transcript has 4 exons.
AAAACCCUAUCCACCCACAGCCGCCGCCACCUCUCCCUCUCUCCUCGGGCUCUGGAUUUAGAUUCGCCACCCACCGGCGCCCUCACAUCUCGCCGCCCAUAUCCCCCAAGCCACCAUCCUCCCACCCUCUCCGUCUCCCCCUCCCUCCCCUCCUCUCCUCAGAGAGGAGAGGGAGAUCGACCAACCAUGGCGGCGGCCAUGGUGGCAGCCAGAUCUGGGAUGGUCGCAGGCACCUCUCCCUCCUCGCAAAGGCUACGGGAUUUACCGGUAUGGGACAGGAGCACCGUUUCCUCCCGUUGCUUCUGCUCGGCCGUGCGUGAGGAGAUCCCAUGGACGCCGAUGUCAAGCUCCGCUGCUCUGACCCCCAUCCAGGUCUGCUCCCUUCUCUGUUCCCCUCUUCGAUCUGCCCUUCUUCCAAUUCCUUCUCCGAGGCAUGCAUUUUCUAUUGGUUUUCUUCCUCACACAGGCACCUGCACCAGCAACUCUAUGCAGGGAGAGGAGUGAGGGCGCUGCAGGGAGAAAAAUGAAGAACGGGAUGCACCUGAGGAGAGAGGGGAUGGUGAGAGGAGAAGGUGCUGCAAGUGCCAAGAGAAGGGGUCGGAUGCAACUGAAACCCUUGCUACGAAGCUCCUACGGGUGAAAUGGAUGUGAACCUUCAAAAUCAAAUGUUUCGCGCCGGCGCGGCUCCGGCGCCUGCUGGAUGGUGCUCCUGGAACAAGACGGCACGGAGGCCCUCCUCUCGCAGGAUGUGCUGACGCGGCGCACGCAGCGGCAUGUUUGGGGCAAGCUUGAGCGCGAUGGCCUUGUCUCAACGAUGACGGCGGUGAACGUUGGUGCUCCUUCUCGUCCUCUAUCUCCAAGGACAUGCGCCGGUACAGCUCGGGCAACCCCGCCCCUGAACGCCGUCCACCCAUCCGGCGAUGUACAGGUCGUCCUCACGUGUGUGGAUUCGCCUCUUGCUGGACUCAACACUUGCAAUGUGGACAUGGUACCGGCAAGGAGUGCACUUUGUGAGAAGUGCUAGUUACGGGAGUAUGCUCAUGUCACCAGCAUACUAAGGGUUUCUCUACAACCAAUUAUCUUCUGCACGGAGCCACAGAGGGCCAACCUGGGGUAUUGUUUGCUACAUCAACACUUGUAAUAUUUCCCUAUACCUACAUUCAUUUGUUAUUAAGUUAUAAUCAUCUUCAGUGUAGAGUAUAUAAUAUUUUUGUAGUUUUGGUGGUCAGGUUUAUAACAUGGUUGUUCGUACAAAAUUGUUGUAACAUCUCAUUAGUAUUUCUACGUACAAUUUUCAAAAUCUUUUUGUUCUUCCAACGUACAUACAACUGAAAUUUUAUCUUCAAACUUGAUAAAAUGACACCCCUUUUGUUGGUUCUAACAAAAUUACUCAUAUCUAAAAAUGUCUAAUGUUUGUUCUGUUUUUGGACAGAUAUAUUAGAUGAUAGUUGCCAUGAAGAGUGUCGAUUGCAAGAAAUUGAAUAAGAAAUUUUUAUAUACGUUGUUGAAGUAAAUUGGAUUUUGAUGGUCCUAACCUUGCUAUGUGUUGUAUUUUGUCAAUUCAUGUUAUAAAUAAUCAUUUCAGGGAGGUUUUGUAAACUGCUAUGUUGUAUGUACCGAUGGAUGGCUGUGUAAAUACUACAGGGCAUUUUGAAGUAUUUUUUCUUCAGCCAAAUUUGGCACUA